This 433-nucleotide ribosomal RNA is filed under the name uncultured bacterium. RNAcentral describes it as "partial 16S ribosomal RNA". It matches the Rfam family "Bacterial small subunit ribosomal RNA", at positions 29 to 507 of the family's 1533-position model. The record is from RNAcentral.
AGCGAACGCUGGCGGCAUGCCUAACACAUGCAAGUCGAACGAGACCUUCGGGUCUAGUGGCGCACGGGUGCGUAACGCGUGGGAACCUGCCCUUAGGUUCGGAAUAACUCCCCGAAAGGGGUGCUAAUACCGGAUAAUGUCUUCGGACCAAAGAUUUAUCGCCUUUGGAUGGGCCCGCGUUGGAUUAGCUAGUUGGUAGGGUAAAAGCCUACCAAGGCGACGAUCCAUAGCUGGUCUGAGAGGAUGAUCAGCCACACUGGGACUGAGACACGGCCCAGACUCCUACGGGAGGAAGCAGUGGGGAAUAUUGGACAAUGGGCGAAAGCCUGAUCCAGCAAUGCCGCGUGAGUGAUGAAGGCCUUAGGGUUGUAAAGCUCUUUUACCCGGGAUGAUAAUGACAGUACCGGGAGAAUAAGCGCCGGCUAACUCCGUG